AGAGCCUUAGGAUAAAUAAACCAAGAGCCUUCAAAGCUCUUAACGGAGGUUAAAAUCCUCCAGUCUCUG
This 69-nucleotide transfer RNA is filed under the name Holopristis ocellifer. RNAcentral's name for it is "Hemigrammus ocellifer tRNA-Trp". It matches the Rfam family "tRNA". Rfam says of the family: Transfer RNA (tRNA) molecules are approximately 80 nucleotides in length. Their secondary structure includes four short double-helical elements and three loops (D, anti-codon, and T loops). Further hydrogen bonds mediate the characteristic L-shaped molecular structure. tRNAs have two regions of fundamental functional importance: the anti-codon, which is responsible for specific mRNA codon recognition, and the 3' end, to which the tRNAs corresponding amino acid is attached (by aminoacyl-tRNA synthetases). tRNAs cope with the degeneracy of the genetic code in two manners: having more than one tRNA (with a specific anti-codon) for a particular amino acid; and 'wobble' base-pairing, i.e. permitting non-standard base-pairing at the 3rd anti-codon position. The record is from RNAcentral. Lineage: Eukaryota; Metazoa; Chordata; Actinopteri; Characiformes; Acestrorhamphidae.